CCUCAGGUCAUUUAAGGGCUAGUCUGGGAAGGGAAAAGGCCUUCUGGAUAAAGGUCACUUCCUGAAAAGGAGUCUUCUAUAGGUAGAGAGCCUUAUCAUCAGUUAGUCCUAGGUGUGUUCUCUUGGUCUGUGUCAAACUUGUCAUGAAAUCUGAGAUAAUAAAAGGGAAAAACACAAAAGAGGAACUUGGGCAAGUGGAGACAUCCUGUUUAAAUAGGUUGUACAUACCUUUGAGGUCAAGUACACUGUAUAUCCAAAACUUCAACUGAUGAAGCUGAUGGGAACUGCAGCUCAUCUCAAACUUCUUCAGGAUGCUUCAAAUAGACCGCAGAACUGAAAUUUAAU
Molecule: long non-coding RNA, 345 nt
Organism: Numida meleagris (helmeted guineafowl)
Lineage: Eukaryota; Metazoa; Chordata; Aves; Galliformes; Numididae
Exons: 3
Source: RefSeq, a predicted model, not a curated record